GACGAACGCUGGCGGCGUGCCUAAUGCAUGCAAGUCGCACGCAGCAUGGUUCGCCAUGCUGAGUGGCGCACGGCUGAGGAUACCGUGGGUACGUGCCCUCCAGUGGGGGAUAACAGCCCGAAAGGGCUGCUAAUCCCGCAUACGCUCACCCUCGGGUGAGGAAAGCGCAAAAGCGCUGGAGGAGCGGCCCGCGUCCCAUCACGGUAGUUGGCGGGGUAACGGCCCACCAAGCCUUUGACGGGUCGCUGGUCUGUGAGGACAACCAGCCAGACUGGGACUGAGACACGGCCCAGACUCCUACGGGAGGCAGCAGCAAGGAAUUUUCCACAAUGGGCGCAAGCCUGAUGGAGCAACGCCGCGUGCAGGACGACGGCCUUCGGGUUGUAAACUGCUUUUGGGGGUGAAGACAUCGACGGUAGCCCCCGAAUAAGCCUCGGCUAACUCUGUGCCAGCAGCCGCCGUAAAAC
This 467-nucleotide ribosomal RNA is filed under the name uncultured bacterium. RNAcentral's name for it is "bacterial SSU rRNA". It matches the Rfam family "Bacterial small subunit ribosomal RNA", at positions 28 to 526 of the family's 1533-position model. The record is from RNAcentral.